RNAcentral lists this ribosomal RNA (270 nucleotides) under uncultured Eubacteriales bacterium. RNAcentral describes it as "uncultured Clostridiales bacterium partial 16S ribosomal RNA". It matches the Rfam family "Bacterial small subunit ribosomal RNA", at positions 58 to 339 of the family's 1533-position model. The record is from RNAcentral. Lineage: Bacteria; Bacillati; Bacillota; Clostridia; Eubacteriales.
UUCGGUCAAGUUGAACGGAUGACUUAGUGGCGGACGGGUGAGUAACGCGUGAGGAACCUGCCUUUCAGUGGGGGACAACAGUUGGAAACGACUGCUAAUACCGCAUAAGCGCACAGCUUCGCAUGAUACAGUGUGAAAAACUCCGGUGGUAUAAGAUGGACCCGCGUCUGAUUAGCUAGUUGGUGUGGUAACGGCAUACCAAGGCGACGAUCAGUAGCCGGCCUGAGAGGGUGAACGGCCACAUUGGGACUGAGAUACGGCCCAGACUCC